AGCGAACGCUGGCGGCAGGCUUAACACAUGCAAGUCGAACGCCCCGCAAGGGGAGUGGCAGACGGGUGAGUAACACGUGGGAACGUACCCUUUGGUUCGGAAUAACUUGGGGAAACUCAAGCUAAUACCGGAUAAGCCCUUAUGGGGAAAGGUUUACUGCCGAAGGAUCGGCCAGCGUCUGAUAAGCUAGUUGGUGAGGUAAUGGCUCACCAAGGCGACGAUCAGUAGCUGGUCUGAGAGAAUGAUCAACCACACUGGGACUGAGACACGGCCCAGACUCCUACGGGAGGCAGCAGUGGGGAAUAUUGGACAAUGGGGGCAACCAUGAUCCAGCCAUGCCGCGUGAGUGAUGAAGGCCUUAGGGUUGUAAAGCUCUUUUACCCGGGACGAUAAUGACUGUACCGGGAGAAUAAGCCCCGGCUAACUUCGUGCCAGCCGCCGCCGUAA
Molecule: ribosomal RNA, 447 nt
Filed under: uncultured bacterium
Lineage: Bacteria
Description: partial 16S ribosomal RNA
Rfam family: Bacterial small subunit ribosomal RNA
Source: RNAcentral